RNA transcript from Pongo pygmaeus (Bornean orangutan), 1107 nucleotides. RefSeq lists it as uncharacterized. The record is from RefSeq and is a predicted model, not a curated record. The transcript is spliced from 2 exons. Lineage: Eukaryota; Metazoa; Chordata; Mammalia; Primates; Hominidae.
ACCAUCUCUGAGUCCCAUCUAUGAAAGACUCAUAGGGAGGUUGAAAUUGCACCACAUGUACAAUAUCUGGCCCAAUGUAGGAAAUGUAUAAAUGUUAGCUUCAUCCCCCAGGGAAGCCCACUGAGAUCCACGUGAAACCUUUGUCUGUGUCUCCCCAUAAUGUGACCUUUAGAAGUUGCCAAUGACCCACCCAAUACCCAACCAUGAUUUUUCUGAGAUAAUCUGCCCGAGGUGUGUGAGAGGAAACGCAAAGAAGGCAGUCAGGAGGAUUCACUCUUGGGGGAGCUGGCUAGGAUCCUAUCUCCUCCUACAGCCAGAGCAUGCAGGCUCCAUUUAGAUACAAAGGGGUGGGAUUGGGUUCCUGGGGAGAAAUUGAGCCCCUUUGAUUCUGCGGUUCUAAAUCUGGCAGCUCCUUGGCUAUCCACCCCCAGGCUUUGUGAUUGGUUGGCUGUGGCUGGGGGGGCAGGAAGCUGCUGGUGGAGCUGCAGCAUCCUUCAGUCUCAGGCCCCCGGGAGGGGGAGGGGAAAGAACCAGGGCUGAGCCGUGGAGGGAAGAGGAGCCAUUUCUCUCCACCGACUGCAACCUCUGUGCUCACAGCUCUCACGUUUCACCAGAAUCCAGGGGCCUGGUCGGCCUAGGAAUUCACAAUGCUGGAUAUUUUCAUCCUGAUGUUCUUUGCCAUCAUAGGCCUGGUCAUUCUGUCCUACAUUAUCUAUCUGCUCUAGUGGCCUGGAGCUGCGGCCGGAGUCUGUUGGAGAACAGCUCAGAAGGAAGGAUGGAGCUGAAUGGCCGAGUGCCCUGCUUGCUGACGCAGCGGUGGAUUUUUGCUUCUGCUGUUAUCUCGGCUCCUGGUCUCUCCAGUCCAAUAAGAGGCCUCUCAUCCACAGAAGCAGUCCCGCUGCCCAGCAGACCUCUUUCAGAGCCUUCCAGACACGGCUGACUCCUGGCAAGCAAGGGGCUUUUUGAGCUGAGAGGCACUUGGCUGGGACAUCAGGAAUUCAUGGACAUGGCUGGCAGAUACUGCAUAUGUUUGAGCUGUAGAUGGGAUUGAGAACAGAAAGUUGAAAUGGAGACUUAUUAAAGUUACUGUGGAGAACCGCUCAAAAA